This 305-nucleotide ribosomal RNA is filed under the name uncultured bacterium. RNAcentral describes it as "bacterial SSU rRNA". It matches the Rfam family "Bacterial small subunit ribosomal RNA", at positions 338 to 660 of the family's 1533-position model. The record is from RNAcentral.
CCUACGGGGGGCAGCAGUGGGGGAUAUUGCACAAUGGGGGGAACCCUGAUGCAGCGACGCCGCGUGGGCGAUGGAGUACUUCGGUAUGUAAAGCCCUAUCAGCAGGGAAGAAAAUGACGGUACCUGACUAAGAAGCCCCGGCUAAAUACGUGCCAGCAGCCGCGGUAAUACGUAUGGGGCAAGCGUUAUCCGGAUUUACUGGGUGUAAAGGGAGCGCAGGCGGCGCGGUAAGUCUGAUGUGAAAGCCCGGGGCUCAACCCCGGGACUGCAUUGGAAACUGUCGUGCUGGAGUGUCGGAGGGGCAA